ACCAUCCUCCAAGGCUAAAUACUCCUGACUGACCGAUAGUGAACCAGUACCGUGAGGGAAAGGCGAAAAGAACCCCGGCGAGGGGAGUGAAAAAGAACCUGAAACCGUGUACGUACAAGCAGUGGGAGCCUCUUAAUGGGGUGACUGCGUACCUUUUGUAUAAUGGGUCAGCGACUUAUAUUCUGUAGCAAGGUUAACCGAAUAGGGGAGCCGAAGGGAAACCGAGUCUUAACUGGGCGUUAAGUUGCAGGGUAUAGACCCGAAACCCGGUGAUCUAGCCAUGGGCAGGUUGAAGGUUGGGUAACACUAACUGGAGGACCGAACCGACUAAUGUUGAAAAAUUAGCGGAUGACUUGUGGCUGGGGGUGAAAGGCCAAUCAAACCGGGAGAUAGCUGGUUCUCCCCGAAAGCUAUUUAGGUAGCGCCUCGUGAAUUCAUCUCCGGGGGUAGAGCACUGUUUCGGCAAGGGGGUCAUCCCGACUUACCAACCCGAUGCAAACUGCGAAUACCGGAGAAUGUUAUCACGGGAGACACACGGCGGGUGCUAACGUCCGUCGUGAAGAGGGAAACAACCCAGACCGCCAGCUAAGGUCCCAAAGUCAUGGUUAAGUGGGAAACGAUGUGGGAAGGCCCAGACAGCCAGGAUGUUGGCUUAGAAGCAGCCAUCAUUUAAAGAAAGCGUAAUAGCUCACUGGUCGAGUCGGCCUGCGCGGAAGAUGUAACGGGGCUAAACCAUGCACCGAAGCUGCGGCAGCGACACUAUGUGUUGUUGGGUAGGGGAGCGUUCUGUAAGCCUGUGAAGGUGUGCUGUGAGGCAUGCUGGAGGUAUCAGAAGUGCGAAUGCUGACAUAAGUAACGAUAAAGCGGGUGAAAAGCCCGCUCGCCGGAAGACCAAGGGUUCCUGUCCAACGUUAAUCGGGGCAGGGUGAGUCGACCCCUAAGGCGAGGCCGAAAGGCGUAGUCGAUGGGAAACAGGUUAAUAUUCCUGUACUUGGUGUUACUGCGAAGGGGGGACGGAGAAGGCUAUGUUGGCCGGGCGACGGUUGUCCCGGUUUAAGCGUGUAGGCUGGUUUUCCAGGCAAAUCCGGAAAACCAAGGCUGAGGCGUGAUGACGAGGCACUACGGUGCUGAAGCGACAAAUGCCCUGCUUCCAGGAAAAGCCUCUAAGCAUCAGGUAACAUCAAAUCGUACCCCAAACCGACACAGGUGGUCAGGUAGAGAAUACCAAGGCGCUUGAGAGAACUCGGGUGAAGGAACUAGGCAAAAUGGUGCCGUAACUUCGGGAGAAGGCACGCUGAUAUGUAGGUGAAGCGACUUGCUCGUGGAGCUGAAAUCAGUCGAAGAUACCAGCUGGCUGCAACUGUUUAUUAAAAACACAGCACUGUGCAAACACGAAAGUGGACGUAUACGGUGUGACGCCUGCCCGGUGCCGGAAGGUUAAUUGAUGGGGUUAGCGGUAACGCGAAGCUCUUGAUCGAAGCCCCGGUAAACGGCGGCCGUAACUAUAACGGUCCUAAGGUAGCGAAAUUCCUUGUCGGGUAAGUUCCGACCUGCACGAAUGGCGUAAUGAUGGCCAGGCUGUCUCCACCCGAGACUCAGUGAAAUUGAACUCGCUGUGAAGAUGCAGUGUACCCGCGGCAAGACGGAAAGACCCCGUGAACCUUUACUAUAGCUUGACACUGAACAUUGAGCCUUGAUGUGUAGGAUAGGUGGGAGGCUUUGAAGUGUGGACGCCAGUCUGCAUGGAGCCGACCUUGAAAUACCACCCUUUAAUGUUUGAUGUUCUAACGUUGGCCCGUAAUCCGGGUUGCGGACAGUGUCUGGUGGGUAGUUUGACUGGGGCGGUCUCCUCCUAAAGAGUAACGGAGGAGCACGAAGGUUGGCUAAUCCUGGUCGGACAUCAGGAGGUUAGUGCAAUGGCAUAAGCCAGCUUGACUGCGAGCGUGACGGCGCGAGCAGGUGCGAAAGCAGGUCAUAGUGAUCCGGUGGUUCUGAAUGGAAGGGCCAUCGCUCAACGGAUAAAAGGUACUCCGGGGAUAACAGGCUGAUACCGCCCAAGAGUUCAUAUCGACGGCGGUGUUUGGCACCUCGAUGUCGGCUCAUCACAUCCUGGGGCUGAAGUAGGUCCCAAGGGUAUGGCUGUUCGCCAUUUAAAGUGGUACGCGAGCUGGGUUUAGAACGUCGUGAGACAGUUCGGUCCCUAUCUGCCGUGGGCGCUGGAGAACUGAGGGGGGCUGCUCCUAGUACGAGAGGACCGGAGUGGACGCAUCACUGGUGUUCGGGUUGUCAUGCCAAUGGCACUGCCCGGUAGCUAAAUGCGGAAGAGAUAAGUGCUGAAAGCAUCUAAGCACGAAACUUGCCCCGAGAUGAGUUCUCCCUGAGACUUAGAGUCUCCUGAAGGAACGUUGAAGACGACGACGUUGAUAGGCCGGGUGUGUAAGCGCAGCGAUGCGUUGAGCUAACCGGUACUAAUGAACCGUGAGG
RNAcentral lists this ribosomal RNA (2484 nucleotides) under Escherichia coli. RNAcentral describes it as "partial 23S ribosomal RNA". It matches the Rfam family "Bacterial large subunit ribosomal RNA", at positions 452 to 2916 of the family's 2925-position model. Lineage: Bacteria; Pseudomonadati; Pseudomonadota; Gammaproteobacteria; Enterobacterales; Enterobacteriaceae. The record is from RNAcentral.